AUCGGUAAUGCUUUAAUAGCUCUGCUUAGUAAGUGGAGUAUUGGGUGUUAUUUCGAAGUCAAAAACCCUAUCUUGGUUGAUUUACCCUAUAACCUGGAUUUUCGAGAGGCAGCAGAAUGGAAUUGUCUCAAAGUACUGACUUUUCAUUAUUUUCCACGCAGAUCCCUGAGGAUAAGAGAAGGAAAGGUUUUGUCUCGGGGAGGGUAGGCUUCUCCUAAAAAGAGAAUUCUGGAAGUCAACAUAAUUAAACAAAGAGGAAAAUGUGCCAGACAGGAGUGGGUGGGGGCUGUUUUCUCUUUGUGGUUGGUUGUGGUGCGUUCAAGAUUCCUCGCCUAAGAUGAGGUUCCUGAGCUUCCAGUAGCCGACUGACUGCCCGAGAGACCCAGGGCUCCGCGAGGCGACGGCGCAGGUGUCGAGGCUCCCUGCAGGCCAGGAAAAAGUGUCCAAACGCCUCGCGGACUGCAGCGGGGGAAAUGUCCCUUAAAAGUGCGACGAAGUGGGGAAGAAGGUGUAAUUACUAUUAUCAGCAUCUAUAAAGCAUCAUGCAUUUGCUGGAGUACUUCCUAGCACUGACCUCCUUCCUUCUGCGUUGUUCUUACUGGAUCUUUCUAUCAGCCAACAAUAUGGAAGUACCAAUACAAGGUCAAAUCAUUCCUGGAUUCAUCUGGAGUUACUUAACAGUUAAAUCAUUGGAAGUUUUGGUGAUACCUUUUCUAUAUGGAUUACAAUUUGAUCUCUGGGAAUUCUCCACCGUAAAAAAGACUCUUGCUAUUUGGAAGCCCAUGCCCACCUCUGACUUCCACUCAAAAUUGCUUUCCUCACAGUCUGACUGCGAGAGUUGUGAAACAUUGGGAUGUGCUUCUGAGGUGGGCUGUGGAAUGCCAUGUAAGUUGCUACUAUUUUUUCUGAAGGCGAUGGGUUUUCGUGCGCAGUAG
This 935-nucleotide long non-coding RNA is filed under the name Macaca nemestrina (pig-tailed macaque). RNAcentral describes it as "lncRNA (ENSMNEG00000045993.1)". The record is from RNAcentral. Lineage: Eukaryota; Metazoa; Chordata; Mammalia; Primates; Cercopithecidae.